Molecule: ribosomal RNA, 946 nt
Filed under: uncultured bacterium
Lineage: Bacteria
Description: bacterial SSU rRNA
Rfam family: Bacterial small subunit ribosomal RNA
Source: RNAcentral
GUGGAGGAUGACGGGCGUUGGGGUGUAAAGUCUAUUCGUGGGGGAUUGAAACGGACUAGUACGCGUAGAAGCAGCCCCGGCGAACUUUUGCCAGCAGCCGCGUAAGACAGAGGGGGCAAGCGUUGUCGGGAUUGAGUGGGCUUAAAGGGCGAGCAGGCGGUUCGUGACGUGCCGUGAGACAGCUGGGAGCUCAACUCCCAGCGGCCAGGGUAGACGCAGGGACGGAGGCAGGGAGAGGGGCAGUGGAAUACCCGGUGGAGCGGUGAAAUGCGUAGAGAUCGGGUCAACACCAGGGGCGAAGGCGGCUGCCUGGCCCUGACCUGACGCUGAGGCGCGAGAGAGUGGGGAGCAAACUGGAUUAGAUACCCAGGUAGUCCACGCCGUAAACGAUGUGCACCCGGUGCUGGGCGGUGAUUGUGCCGCUCGGUGCCUGAGCUUACGCGAUGAGUGCACCGCGUGGGGAGUACGGCCGCAAGGCUAAAACUCAAAGGAAUUGACGGGGGCCCGCACAAGCAGCGGAGCGUGUGGUUUAAUUCGACGCAACACGAAGAACCUUACCUAGGCUUGACAUGGUACUGCAAGCCGGAGAAAGCCGGUCGCCUUCGAGGGUGUACCACUGGUGCUGCAUGGCUGUCGUCAGCUGGUGUCGUGAGAUGUUGGGUUAAGUCCCGCAACGAGCGCAACCCUUGCCCGAUGUUGUAGGUAUCAUCGGGGACGGCCGCUGGUCGCCAGCGGAGGAAGGCGGGGAUGACGUCAAGUCCGCAUGGCCCCCACGUUUAGGGCUACACACACCAUACAAUGGCCGGAGGAGUGCGUUGCGACCUGGUAACGGGGAGCUAAUCGCCAAGGUCGGUGGUAGUGCAGAUUGGGGGCUGCAACUCGCCCCCAUGAAGGCGGAGUUGCUAGUAACCGCGUGGCAGCAUAGCGCGGUGAAUACGUUCCCGGG